This 2207-nucleotide ribosomal RNA is filed under the name Escherichia coli. RNAcentral's name for it is "partial 23S ribosomal RNA". It matches the Rfam family "Bacterial large subunit ribosomal RNA", at positions 742 to 2925 of the family's 2925-position model. The record is from RNAcentral. Lineage: Bacteria; Pseudomonadati; Pseudomonadota; Gammaproteobacteria; Enterobacterales; Enterobacteriaceae.
AGGUUGAAGGUUGGGUAACACUAACUGGAGGACCGAACCGACUAAUGUUGAAAAAUUAGCGGAUGACUUGUGGCUGGGGGUGAAAGGCCAAUCAAACCGGGAGAUAGCUGGUUCUCCCCGAAAGCUAUUUAGGUAGCGCCUCGUGAAUUCAUCUCCGGGGGUAGAGCACUGUUUCGGCAAGGGGGUCAUCCCGACUUACCAACCCGAUGCAAACUGCGAAUACCGGAGAAUGUUAUCACGGGAGACACACGGCGGGUGCUAACGUCCGUCGUGAAGAGGGAAACAACCCAGACCGCCAGCUAAGGUCCCAAAGUCAUGGUUAAGUGGGAAACGAUGUGGGAAGGCCCAGACAGCCAGGAUGUUGGCUUAGAAGCAGCCAUCAUUUAAAGAAAGCGUAAUAGCUCACUGGUCGAGUCGGCCUGCGCGGAAGAUGUAACGGGGCUAAACCAUGCACCGAAGCUGCGGCAGCGACACUAUGUGUUGUUGGGUAGGGGAGCGUUCUGUAAGCCUGUGAAGGUGGCCUGUGAGGGUUGCUGGAGGUAUCAGAAGUGCGAAUGCUGACAUAAGUAACGAUAAAGCGGGUGAAAAGCCCGCUCGCCGGAAGACCAAGGGUUCCUGUCCAACGUUAAUCGGGGCAGGGUGAGUCGACCCCUAAGGCGAGGCCGAAAGGCGUAGUCGAUGGGAAACAGGUUAAUAUUCCUGUACUUGGUGUUACUGCGAAGGGGGGACGGAGAAGGCUAUGUUGGCCGGGCGACGGUUGUCCCGGUUUAAGCGUGUAGGCUGGUUUUCCAGGCAAAUCCGGAAAAUCAAGGCUGAGGCGUGAUGACGAGGCACUACGGUGCUGAAGCGACAAAUGCCCUGCUUCCAGGAAAAGCCUCUAAGCAUCAGGUAACAUCAAAUCGUACCCCAAACCGACACAGGUGGUCAGGUAGAGAAUACCAAGGCGCUUGAGAGAACUCGGGUGAAGGAACUAGGCAAAAUGGUGCCGUAACUUCGGGAGAAGGCACGCUGAUAUGUAGGUGAAGCGACUUGCUCGUGGAGCUGAAAUCAGUCGAAGAUACCAGCUGGCUGCAACUGUUUAUUAAAAACACAGCACUGUGCAAACACGAAAGUGGACGUAUACGGUGUGACGCCUGCCCGGUGCCGGAAGGUUAAUUGAUGGGGUUAGCGGUAACGCGAAGCUCUUGAUCGAAGCCCCGGUAAACGGCGGCCGUAACUAUAACGGUCCUAAGGUAGCGAAAUUCCUUGUCGGGUAAGUUCCGACCUGCACGAAUGGCGUAAUGAUGGCCAGGCUGUCUCCACCCGAGACUCAGUGAAAUUGAACUCGCUGUGAAGAUGCAGUGUACCCGCGGCAAGACGGAAAGACCCCGUGAACCUUUACUAUAGCUUGACACUGAACAUUGAGCCUUGAUGUGUAGGAUAGGUGGGAGGCUUUGAAGUGUGGACGCCAGUCUGCAUGGAGCCGACCUUGAAAUACCACCCUUUAAUGUUUGAUGUUCUAACGUGGGCCCCUUACCGGGGUUGCGGACAGUGUCUGGUGGGUAGUUUGACUGGGGCGGUCUCCUCCUAAAGAGUAACGGAGGAGCACGAAGGUUGGCUAAUCCUGGUCGGACAUCAGGAGGUUAGUGCAAUGGCAUAAGCCAGCUUGACUGCGAGCGUGACGGCGCGAGCAGGUGCGAAAGCAGGUCAUAGUGAUCCGGUGGUUCUGAAUGGAAGGGCCAUCGCUCAACGGAUAAAAGGUACUCCGGGGAUAACAGGCUGAUACCGCCCAAGAGUUCAUAUCGACGGCGGUGUUUGGCACCUCGAUGUCGGCUCAUCACAUCCUGGGGCUGAAGUAGGUCCCAAGGGUAUGGCUGUUCGCCAUUUAAAGUGGUACGCGAGCUGGGUUUAGAACGUCGUGAGACAGUUCGGUCCCUAUCUGCCGUGGGCGCUGGAGAACUGAGGGGGGCUGCUCCUAGUACGAGAGGACCGGAGUGGACGCAUCACUGGUGUUCGGGUUGUCAUGCCAAUGGCACUGCCCGGUAGCUAAAUGCGGAAGAGAUAAGUGCUGAAAGCAUCUAAGCACGAAACUUGCCCCGAGAUGAGUUCUCCCUGACUCCUUGAGAGUCCUGAAGGAACGUUGAAGACGACGACGUUGAUAGGCCGGGUGUGUAAGCGCAGCGAUGCGUUGAGCUAACCGGUACUAAUGAACCGUGAGGCUUAACCUU